AAUGGUUCUCGGGUGACGCACCCCAGAACCAGCGAGGAGGGAGCCUGAUUCCAGGGUGUGUCACCCGAGAACCACC
Molecule: non-coding RNA, 76 nt
Organism: Myotis lucifugus (little brown bat)
Lineage: Eukaryota; Metazoa; Chordata; Mammalia; Chiroptera; Vespertilionidae
Source: Rfam